RNAcentral lists this ribosomal RNA (439 nucleotides) under uncultured bacterium. RNAcentral describes it as "partial 16S ribosomal RNA". It matches the Rfam family "Bacterial small subunit ribosomal RNA", at positions 338 to 795 of the family's 1533-position model. The record is from RNAcentral.
CCUACGGGGGGCAGCAGUGGGGAAUAUUGCACAAUGGGGGAAACCCUGAUGCAGCGACGCCGCGUGAGUGAAGAAGUACUUCGUUAUGUAAAGCUCUAUCAGCAGGGAAGAAAAUGACGGUACCUGAGUACGAAGCCCCGGGUAACUACGUGCCAGCAGCCGCGGUAAUACGGAGGAUGCGCGGGUAAUCCGAAUUUAUUGGGUUAAAAGGGUGCGGAGGCGGAAGGUUAAGUCAGUGGUAAAAGGGCGGUGCUCAACACCGGCCUGCCGUUGAAACUGGCCUGCUUGAGUGUGCGAGAGGUAGGCGGAAUGCGUGGUGUAGCGGUGAAAUGCAUAGAUAUCACGCAGAACUCCGAUUGCGAAGGCAGCAGACCGGCGCUAAACUGACGCUGAGGCACGAAAGCGUGGGGAUCGAACAGGAUUAGAUACCCGUGUAGUC